RNAcentral lists this unclassified non-coding RNA (363 nucleotides) under uncultured bacterium. Its description in RNAcentral is "contains 16S-23S intergenic spacer region". The record is from RNAcentral.
UCCCCGUUGCCGGGGCAGUUUGAAUAGAAAAAUACAACUAUUCACAAGGGUUGCGCUCGUUGAUGGGCUUAACCAAACAUCUCACGACACGAGCUGACGACGGCCAUGCAUCACCUGUCACCAAGUUCAAUAAAGCACUCUCGCCUUUCGGUAAAAUUCUUGGGAUUUCAAACCCUGGUAAGGUUUAUCGUUUAUCAUCGAAUUAAAGAACACGCUCCACCGCUUGUGCGGGUCCCCGUCAAUUCCUUUGAGUUUUAGUCUUGCGACCGUACUCCCCAGGCGGAAUACUUAACGCGUUAGCUUCGCUACAUACCGGGUCGAUACGGCAUACAGCUAGUAUUCAUCGUUUACGGCGUGGACUAC